AAACUAAUUUAAUUUGGCGGCAUUUCAUCUAAUUAGAGGAAUCUGUCCUUUAAUCGAUAACCCACGCUAAAUUUCACUUUAAUCUCAAACUUAUAUACCUCCAUUUAAAGAAUUAAUUCAAAAACAUUACUCUUAAAAAUAAAUAAAAAAUUAGGUCAAGGUGUAAUUUAUAUUAAAGAAUGAGAUGUAUUACACUAAAUAUAAUUUAAAGAUUAUUAAUAAAUAUACUUAUUUAAAUAAGAAUUUAAAAGUAAUAUUCUAAUAAUAAUAUAAUAUGAUAUAAAUAAUAAAUGUGUACACAUCGCCC
Molecule: ribosomal RNA, 307 nt
Filed under: Draconarius sp. ZZ929
Lineage: Eukaryota; Metazoa; Arthropoda; Arachnida; Araneae; Agelenidae
Description: partial 12S ribosomal RNA
Source: RNAcentral